Long non-coding RNA from Mus musculus (house mouse), 811 nucleotides. RefSeq annotates it as predicted gene, 36555. NCBI's taxonomy places the organism in Eukaryota, Metazoa, Chordata, Mammalia, Rodentia, Muridae. The transcript has 4 exons. The record is from RefSeq and is a predicted model, not a curated record.
GUACCACUGACAGCAACAUGCUGGCUUUGCAGAAGAGUAACACAGAGAAAGAGUAGAAUAAGAAAGUCCUCCCGAGCCUGGAUCAAUGAAGGCUACUGUAAAGAGAGAGAGUAAACACAUUAAGCUCUAUGAGUGCUGCGGUUAUGACCUAGAACCCCCGAAAAGGGACUGUCUGCAGAGAUUGUCUGGUUGGUCAAUACCAUGGAGAGGCUGGAAUGUUGCAGAUCCAAAGGCUAAUUACCUUAUCUUGGGCUAGCUUUAGCACCCCAGAGCAGCCAUUCCUUACUUUGUGUUCCGAGCUAACAUCCUGUUACUAACAGAUUAAAGAUCCUUGGAAUCUAUUGACCUCACAGGCCCACUAAGUUCCAUCAACAGAAAAGAGACCACAAGAGUGCACCACCUUUCCUGGAGCUGAAGUUACAGAAGGUUAUGAGCUACUGUGUUGGUUCUGGAAACAAGACCUAGGGUCCUCUGCAAAAGCAGCAGAAUACUUAUUUGCUGAGCACACAACUGCUGAAAUCACUCACUGCUGGAAGUAUUAUCACACAGGACUGACCCCAGCCCAUCCUUUGCCAUCUAAAGCCAACAGCAUAGCUCUACAAACCUUACCAGCUAGCAGUCAGCUUAACACUAUCAGGAUUUCUGUAAGUGUUCUGUUGUUAAAGCCAUAUCCUUGUGGGUUUAAUUACAAAAUAAGCAAGACAGCUUGGGUAAAUACGCUGCAGCAAGAAAUACAGACUCUUCCGCAUGAUGGAUGGUGGUCCUUUUAAAACUCGGCUCCGGGUCCUCUCUCCCACCAGUGUAAGUGGAG